AAUAGACAAGAAGGAUCUCUGUCAUGGAUGUAGAAAUAAAAGGGAAACAAACACUUUAGCCUUAUUUUAUGAACAUACAAUGUCUAAACUACAGGGUUUAAGCGAUUUUCUGACAGAGAGGUUAAAUGUGGCUGCCCAGGAAAUAUUUAAGGCGGUUGAAGACAUAUUUAGAAACUAUAAUGAGGAGAUUUGUCGCUCCAGACAGGAGAUAGAGCUUCUGAAGGGAAAACUGGACGAAGCUGGAGUUCAGUUUCGUCGUCCUGAAACACAGCCUUGCUCUUCUGAGAUUCAAAAAAAGAAAUACACCCAGACGUACACAGAAGAACAGUUGAGACCUGAACAUGAUGGAAAGGAUACAGAGAUGCAUAUGAAACUAGAGGUCUAUACACAGCAGGAAGAGAAUGGAGAGCAGAUGCCUUUGUGCAAUGAAACCACACCUUUAUUGCCAUUUAUGGACGUUGACCAUGAUCAGAUGGUCCACAAAAUCGUUGGAACCCAAGUGAUGGAAAACCUCAACAAUAAUUUUACUUUCAUUAACAAUGCUGCUCAGAUUAAGAAUGAACCUGAGCCUAAUCCUGAAAGUGGUACUUGCUGUCAGGCACAGCACAUCACAAGAUACAGCUCGGAUGUUACAGAGGACAGUGAUGCAUCCAGCAACGACAUCAAAAUAAAAGUUAGCCACGUUGGCUCCCCUGCACAUAACACACAACAAUAUGAGCUGCCUUUUAGAAAUCAAGAGGUGUUGGCACAACAUAGGAUGGAGCUGGCCCAAAUAAGAGAGAGAUUGGCAGAAGAAGAGCGAAAGAAGGCUGCAGCAAAAGCUAGAUCCCAAAAGCACAAGCAGAAAGUAUAUGGGAACCCUGAUCUUCUUGAAGCAUACAGGAAAAAGGAGAGAGAGAGAUAUCAAAGACGAAAAUCUCAGGGGAAAAUGAAAUCUGCUAAAGAUCUGAACCCAAUACAAUUGAGAAGGCAACAGAAAAGAUGGAGGGACAAUUCUGCUGCAUACAGGAAAAAGAAAGCAUUUCAGGACGUUUUAGACAACAUUAAAGAAGACUUUAUUGAACUCAUCCCAGAGCAAAUGCCUGCCACAUCUGCUCAACAUUUUAGCAUUUUUUAGAGUUCAGUGUGUAAAAAAUAUCCCUUUAUUCCUGAUCAACCUGUACUGUAUAUGGAACUUGCCAAUUCCAAGGGUUUGAUUCCCAAGGAACACACUUUCCAUUUAAAAUGGAUAUCUUUAAAGCUGAAGUGUGUAACAUUUUUGGUGUUAAAAUAAUCUCUCCUAUCCCAGCUUAAUAUGCAGAGACAAUUAUAAGUAAGCCAUUGGUUGGUUAUUUUUCUUUACAACUAUUAACACUGUUGGGGGAAUUCAUUAAACAGUUGGGCCACUUUUACGCAUGGUAUUUUAGCGCAAAAACCUGCAUUCUUGUUUUGAGUGACCUAACAAUUUCGACACAACAACAUUGAUUCGACAUAUAGCGCUUGUUUAGGGUAGGACUAUCUUUUUGUUUAUUCGAAUGGUGUAUUCGGAUGGCUGUUUGGAAAAUAAAUGUAAAUGGGCAAUUCUGUUUGAUAGCUUAGAAAUAGCACACAUCAGCUUUAAUGCAAGGGUGCGUUCACACUUUACGCCAAAGUUCAGUUCAUUUGAUGAUGUGAACUCUGUUUUCCGAUGGCAUUGGUUAUUAUGGGAUAAUGAGUUUCUUGUACCUGCUUAUCUGUCAAAUAAAUCGCCUUCAAAGAACAGCUCACAUUCUACACAUCUUUGCACUUUCAAUUAAUUCACGGCAGACAAGCUAAAUUGCAAACAAAACGGGAAAGAAACCGGAGGAAUAAGUGGGAACCUGAGGAAUUGCACACUGUAAGGAAGAUCAGACACGCUGAAGAAGCGGCUCUUGACAAAGAACAACACCAGCAAACACAGCUCAAGACAAAUUUAACUGACAUCUCCUGUGAGGACAUUCAACAUGAAGAGGAACUGUCUGAAAGUUACCAUACUCUUCAUGAUAUUCACGGAAACCCACACGGUACAGGAGAAUAUUCUUGUGUCGUGUGCCGCAGAAGAUUCAGCUCAUCAGGACUGCUAAAAAUUCACCUUAGAGUUCACUCAGGAGAGAAACCAUACCAUUGCAGCUUUUGUGGUAAAAACUUUAGACAAUCAAGUCACCUUAAGACACACGUCAGAAUCCACACUGGAGAGAGACCUCACAUCUGUCAGAGUUGUGGGAAGACUUUUAUUGACUCAAGUGCACGAAACAGGCACUUUAAAAAAUGCGUUCUUCUUGCUCUACAAGGACCAUGAAAUGAUAAGCAGUGUCUGUUGAAGGUCUUUCCAUUACUCAUUAAAUUGGAAAUGUCAAAGUAUUUAGUUUUUUUAAUCUGGCAUGAUAGCAGAUGCAUUUUUAAAGGUUUUUAAAUAAUGUUGUACUACCAAUCAGGCAGUCUGAUACAGUGCCACAUCUAACAGAACAAAUAUGUCAAGAACAGCUCCAAUCAUGUCCUUAAAAGGUUUCACUUUGUUUUUAGAAUAUGCAACUGCCAAUCACCUGAACUCUUUCAAGUCCUUGCAAUGCUACAUUUUAUAGAGCAGGACUGAUUACAUUUCUGUGAGCCAGGUGCGAUUUAAAUUAUGCAAAACAGUGUUCAUUUCCUGAGCAGAAUUUUAAAAGCCUCAAGAUUGUAAGGCUUGAUUUAAAUUUUUUAACCUGUUUUGUUCUUUCUACUGUCAUUAUAGAAGUACAAUAGCUAGCAUGGUAAGUUUUAAGUACUUGUGUGAAUUUUAAAGAUCCUGAAUGGCAUUUGGAAAAGUACAUCUUCAUUGUUUCAUUUAGUUUCUUUGGUUGUUUUAUUAUUAUUAUUAUUAUUAUUAUUAUUAUUAUUGAUGUUGUUAAUGUUGUGUGUCUGUCAUAAAAUAGUAGAGUAAAAUAUACAAACAUCCUUGCAGUUUGUAGUCAUUUUUACUGAUUUCAAACAGAGCAAAUUUUGUCCAUCAAUAAUAUAUAGAUACA
This is an RNA transcript of Xyrauchen texanus (razorback sucker), 3002 nucleotides long. It is a transcript of the gene named zinc finger protein 180-like, with no coding region annotated. The transcript is spliced from 7 exons. The record is from RefSeq and is a predicted model, not a curated record. NCBI's taxonomy places the organism in Eukaryota, Metazoa, Chordata, Actinopteri, Cypriniformes, Catostomidae.